CUUAACGGCGUGUACUGUCUGGCUGGGCCUUACCUCUUGGUGAGCCGGCGUGCCCUUUAUUGGUGUGCGCCGGGGAACCAGGACUUUUACCUUGAGAAAAUUAGAGUGUUCAAAGCAGGCCUAUGCCCGAAUACAUUAGCAUGGAAUAAUAAAAUAGGACGUGCGGUUCUAUUUUGUUGG
Molecule: ribosomal RNA, 180 nt
Filed under: uncultured Glomeromycotina
Lineage: Eukaryota; Fungi; Glomeromycota
Description: partial small subunit ribosomal RNA
Rfam family: Eukaryotic small subunit ribosomal RNA (bases 73-180)
Source: RNAcentral